UAACAUGAGAGUUUGAUCCUGGCUCAGGAUGAACGCUGGCGGCGUGCUUAACACAUGCAAGUCGAACGAAGCACUUUAUUUGAUUUCCUUCGGGACUGAUUAUUUUGUGACUGAGUGGCGGACGGGUGAGUAACGCGUGGGUAACCUGCCUUGUACAGGGGGAUAACAGUUGGAAACGGCUGCUAAUACCGCAUAAGCGCACAGCAUCGCAUGAUGCAGUGUGAAAAACUCCGGUGGUAUAAGAUGGACCCGCGUUGGAUUAGCUAGUUGGUGAGGU
RNAcentral lists this ribosomal RNA (277 nucleotides) under Agathobacter rectalis. Its description in RNAcentral is "partial 16S ribosomal RNA". It matches the Rfam family "Bacterial small subunit ribosomal RNA", at positions 1 to 258 of the family's 1533-position model. Lineage: Bacteria; Bacillati; Bacillota; Clostridia; Lachnospirales; Lachnospiraceae. The record is from RNAcentral.